UACGGAGAGUGCAAGCGUUGUUCGGAAUCAUUGGGCGUAAAGGGUGCCUAGGCGGCCCGUCAAGUCCGGUGUGAAAUCCCUCGGCUCAACCGAGGAACUGCACCGGAAACUGACAGGCUUGAGUGUUGGAGGGGGCAACGGAAUUCCCGGUGUAGAGGUGAAAUUCGUAGAUAUCGGGAGGAACACCAGUGGCGAAGGCGGUUGCCUGGCCAAACACUGACGCUGAAGCACGAAAGCGUGGGGAGCAAACAGG
This 253-nucleotide ribosomal RNA is filed under the name uncultured bacterium. RNAcentral's name for it is "partial 16S ribosomal RNA". It matches the Rfam family "Bacterial small subunit ribosomal RNA", at positions 524 to 776 of the family's 1533-position model. The record is from RNAcentral.